This 253-nucleotide ribosomal RNA is filed under the name uncultured bacterium. Its description in RNAcentral is "partial 16S ribosomal RNA". It matches the Rfam family "Bacterial small subunit ribosomal RNA", at positions 524 to 776 of the family's 1533-position model. The record is from RNAcentral.
UACGUAGGGUGCGAGCGUUGUCCGGAAUUAUUGGGCGUAAAGAGCUCGUAGGCGGCUUGUUGCGUCGGAUGUGAAAGCCCGGGGCUUAACUCCGGGUCGGCAUUCGAUACGGGCAGGCUAGAGUUCGGUAGGGGAGAUCGGAAUUCCUGGUGUAGCGGUGAAAUGCGCAGAUAUCAGGAGGAACACCGGUGGCGAAGGCGGAUCUCUGGGCCGAUACUGACGCUGAGGAGCGAAAGCGUGGGGAGCGAACAGG